Molecule: ribosomal RNA, 511 nt
Filed under: Salmonella enterica subsp. enterica serovar Enteritidis
Lineage: Bacteria; Pseudomonadati; Pseudomonadota; Gammaproteobacteria; Enterobacterales; Enterobacteriaceae
Description: partial 23S ribosomal RNA
Rfam family: Bacterial large subunit ribosomal RNA
Source: RNAcentral
CGGGCGUUAAGUUGCAGGGUAUAGACCCGAAACCCGGUGAUCUAGCCAUGGGCAGGUUGAAGGUUGGGUAACACUAACUGGAGGACCGAACCGACUAAUGUUGAAAAAUUAGCGGAUGACCUGUGGCUGGGGGUGAAAGGCCAAUCAAACCGGGAGAUAGCUGGUUCUCCCCGAAAGCUAUUUAGGUAGCGCCUCGUGAAUUCAUCUCCGGGGGUAGAGCACUGUUUCGGCUAGGGGGCCAUCCCGGCUUACCAACCCGAUGCAAACUGCGAAUACCGGAGAAUGUUAUCACGGGAGACACACGGCGGGUGCUAACGUCCGUCGUGAAGAGGGAAACAACCCAGACCGCCAGCUAAGGUCCCAAAGUCAUGGUUAAGUGGGAAACGAUGUGGGAAGGCCCAGACAGCCAGGAUGUUGGCUUAGAAGCAGCCAUCAUUUAAAGAAAGCGUAAUAGCUCACUGGUCGAGUCGGCCUGCGCGGAAGAUGUAACGGGGCUAAACCAUGCACCGAA